Molecule: long non-coding RNA, 325 nt
Filed under: Elaeis guineensis (African oil palm)
Lineage: Eukaryota; Viridiplantae; Streptophyta; Magnoliopsida; Arecales; Arecaceae
Description: long non-coding RNA (EGUI_LNC009848)
Source: RNAcentral
UGCGCAUGUGUGCCCAGUUUUGAAUUCUCCAUGCGAUCCAUGGUGGACCGUCAGAACUUGGCAUGGUCCACACAUCCAUCAUGGACCGAUCUGGACUAUGCACGAACAAUCAUAGUGCAUGGCUCUUCUUUGCAUGAUCUGAUGGUCAAAAAUGUGCUGAUACAUGAUUUUGCAUGAUCCAAGGGCUAGGGAAGGUUGCGAAAGAGAUCCAAGGAUCAAAAAAAAUUGUUGAGAACUUUUAAAAGCAGGAUUUAGAUAUAGACUGGGUUUUGGGUCUAUUAAAGGUGCCUGAUGGCCAGUAAAGCAUGGUGUGGUGGCUUUGAGC